This 450-nucleotide ribosomal RNA is filed under the name uncultured bacterium. RNAcentral describes it as "partial 16S ribosomal RNA". It matches the Rfam family "Bacterial small subunit ribosomal RNA", at positions 338 to 795 of the family's 1533-position model. The record is from RNAcentral.
CCUACGGGGGGCAGCAGUAAGGAAUAUUGGUCAAUGGACGCAAGUCUGAACCAGCCAUGCCGCGUGGAGGAUGAAGGUCCUCUGGAUUGUAAACUUCUUUUAUUUGGGAAGAAACUCCCGAUUUCCAUCGGGAUUGACGGUACCAGAUGAAUAAGCACCGGCUCACUCCGUGCCAGCAGCCGCGGUAAUACGGAGGGUGCAGGCGUUAUCCGGAUUCACUGGGUCGAAAGUGGGCAGAGGAGGGCGGGGUGAAAUCUCCGGGCUUAACCCGGAAACUGCCAUGGAUACUAUUGGUCUUGAAUACUCUGGAGGUGAGCGGAAUAUGUCAUGUAGCGGUGAAAUGCUUAGAUAUGACAUAGAACACCCAUUGCGAAGGCAGCUCACUACGGAAAUAUUGACGCUGAGGCACGAAAGCGUGGGGAUCAAACAGGAGUAGAUACCGGAGUAGUC